AGAGUUUGAUCCUGGCUCAGAACGAACGCUGGCGGCGUGCCUAACACAUGCAAGUCGAGCGAGAAGGUCUCCGCAAGGAGAUGAGUAAAGCGGCGAACGGGUGAGUAACACGUGGGCAACCUACCCUUCAGUUAGGAAUAACCCGUCGAAAGGCGGGCUAAUACCAGAUGAUGUCCCUUGAAGGCAUCUUCAGGGGACCAAAGGGGGCGAGCGCAAGCGGCUCCCGCUGAAGGAUGGGCCUGCGGCUGAUUAGCUAGUUGGUGAGGUGACGGCCCACCAAGGCUAAGACGGGUAGCUGGUCUGAGAGGAUGGUCAGCCACACUGGGACUGAGACACGGCCCAGAGUCCUACGGGAUGCAGCAGUCAGGAAUAUUGCGCAAUGGAGGAAACUCUGACGCAGCGACGCCGCGUGGGUGAUGAAGGCCUUCGGGUCGUAAAGCCCUGUCGGGAGGGAAGAAAAGCCUGCUGGCUAAUAUCCAGCGGGCCUUUGACGGUACCUUCAAAGGAAGCACCGGCUAACUCCGUGCCAGCAGCCGCGGUAAGACGGAGGGUGCGAGCGUUGUUCGGAUUGACUGGGCGUAAAGGGCGUGUAGGCGGUUGGUCAAGUCUGGUGUGAAAGCCCGGGGCUUAGCCCCGGAAGUGCGCUGGAAACUAGCCAACUUGAGCGCGAUAGAGGAGGGUGGAAUUCCUGGUGUAGCGGUGAAAUGCGUAGAUAUCAGGAGGAACACCGGCGGCGAAGGCGGCCCUCUGGGUCGUUGCUGACGCUGAGACGCGAAAGCGUGGGGAGCAAACA
This 793-nucleotide ribosomal RNA is filed under the name uncultured bacterium. RNAcentral describes it as "bacterial SSU rRNA". It matches the Rfam family "Bacterial small subunit ribosomal RNA", at positions 8 to 774 of the family's 1533-position model. The record is from RNAcentral.